GGAGUUUUGAAGUUUGAUAUAACUUUUUAUUUGUUUCUACCGACCUUUAACAAUUUGAUUUAUGACCCGUUGGAAUGAUUCUCCGGAGUUGAAAUCGUCAUUUAAAGUAAGCAGGACUUUCAAGCUCCAGAAGGUAAAUUCAUGCUUACACCCCUCGUUAAAGGAGAUUUUAUUUUUACCCACCACAUGGAUUAGAAAUUUUAAGCUGAAAUAUUAAGUGUGGACAGCUGCAGUUUCCUGGUCAAGUGUGUCCAGAUUCCUGCUGGUGCUACUCCAAUGAUGGCCUGCCGGUUCCUUUAAAUAUGUGCAUAAUCCACGUGUACUGGAAAUAUGGUGAUACCCUCUUUUAUUUUUAUACAACUUAGUUUACACCGGCCUGGCGAACAGUGUUCUGAAUUAUACAUAAAAUCAUUUACUUGUCAGUGGCGCCUAAGUAUAAUUUUAUUUAACACUAACGGCCCAUCCUCUAUUCUCAAGGGUGGACAUAAGAUUGUUUUUUAUAUUUUUACCUUUUAUUUUUUGUUGCUUUUUAAACACAGUACCAGAUUUUCUAUUUAUACCUACAAUACGAAUUUGUUCAUCGUUUAUUUUAUUUAUUUAAGUAACAUAUUUAAUCUUUAGGGAGAGAGAUUUUUUUCUAUUGCUAUGGCAUUUUGACGGAAGAUAUUUUAGGGCACUUUUUUGUACCUUGGUUUAUGUCACUUAAGUUUUAUUAAGGAUCCCAAAUCUUUUCUAGCAAUAAAUAUAGCCUUUGUUACGCAGGGUAAAUAUAGCUUUCCAAUGCUGAAAGAAUUUUUGAAAUGGGCACAGUAUUUUUGAGUUAAUUAAUUCUUUACAUACAAACACACUUAAAUACAUUUUUUUCCUCUUUAUAAUAGUAGUAUAGAUAGAUUUUUCAAAUGUUCUCUUUCCUAAGUGACCCAUGCUGAGUCUAGCUGGCAUAAUUUUUAGUUAUAGAAUAACACCUAUAACUAAAUUUAAAAACUGUAAAUCUAAAUUAAGAUCUAUAUUUGUAAUAACAAUAAGUAUAACCUACCAAUAUAUUUGGUUACUUGUAAUUAAAUAUAUAACCAAUAACUGCCUCCAUCUCCUUCCACCUCCUUUAUUUAAAAUAACAGUGGCACCACUGUAUGCAUUUUUUAUAUUAAAAUAAGGUGUUUGAAAAUCAAUGCUUAAUAUUAUUAUUGUAUUAAAAUUAUUCUAAGGAUUUAACAAGUACUGUUUUAAUAAUUGUGUCAAUUUGUAUAGGUGCUUCAAAUUAACUUUA
Long non-coding RNA from Vanessa atalanta (red admiral), 1267 nucleotides. RefSeq lists it as uncharacterized. The record is from RefSeq and is a predicted model, not a curated record. Lineage: Eukaryota; Metazoa; Arthropoda; Insecta; Lepidoptera; Nymphalidae. The transcript has 3 exons.